This 257-nucleotide long non-coding RNA is filed under the name Mytilus galloprovincialis (Mediterranean mussel). Lineage: Eukaryota; Metazoa; Mollusca; Bivalvia; Mytilida; Mytilidae. The record is from RNAcentral.
AAACGGAACCGGAUCAUACCAAUUAGUAGCACCCAAGAUCAGAGAGAUAGCACUAAGCCUUUGCAAGAAAAUGUCAAUGCCGCCGAAAGUUAUUGCGCCAGCAGAUGUGGCAAUGAUUUUCGUCCUGACGAAAUGAAACGUGAAACUUAUCAGAGAAGAAGGGACGACAACAAUCAGCUAGGCAGAGAUGAAUGGAUGCAGUACAUGUAACGCGUAUUACCUGUUACACUUUCCUUUAUACAUUUGAGACUUUGCUC